UAGGGAAUCUUCGGCAAUGGGGGGAACCCUGACCGAGCAACGCCGCGUGAGUGAAGAAGGUUUUCGGAUCGUAAAGCUCUGUUGUUAAGGAAGAACGAGUGUGAGAAUGGAAAGUUCAUACUGUGACGGUACUUAACCAGAAAGGGACGGCUAACUACGUGCCAGCAGCCGCGGUAAUACGUAGGUCCCGAGCGUUGUCCGGAUUUAUUGGGCGUAAAGAGAGCGCAGGCGGUCAAUUAAGUCUGAUGUGAAAGCCCCCGGCUCAACCGGGGAGUGUCAUUGGAAACUGGUUUACUUGAGUGCAGAAGAGGCGAGUGGAAUUCCAUGUGUAGCGGUGAAAUGCGUAGAUAUAUGGAGGAACACCAGUGGCGAAGGCGACUCUCUGGUCUGUAACUGACGCUGAGGCUCGAAAGCGUGGGUAGCAAACAGG
RNAcentral lists this ribosomal RNA (430 nucleotides) under Bacteroidota bacterium. RNAcentral's name for it is "Bacteroidetes bacterium partial 16S ribosomal RNA". It matches the Rfam family "Bacterial small subunit ribosomal RNA", at positions 355 to 776 of the family's 1533-position model. Lineage: Bacteria; Pseudomonadati; Bacteroidota. The record is from RNAcentral.